This 30-nucleotide non-coding RNA is filed under the name Homo sapiens (human). Lineage: Eukaryota; Metazoa; Chordata; Mammalia; Primates; Hominidae. The record is from RNAcentral.
GCAGUGAACAUUGGGCAUAUGAAGGUGUUU